UGGGGAAUUUUGGACAAUGGGCGCAAGCCUGAUCCAGCCAUGCCGCGUGCGGGAAGAAGGCCUUCGGGUUGUAAACCGCUUUUGUCAGGGAAGAAAUCUUCUGAGUUAAUACCUCGGGAGGAUGACGGUACCUGAAGAAUAAGCACCGGCUAACUACGUGCCAGCAGCCGCGGUAAUACGUAGGGUGCAAGCGUUAAUCGGAAUUACUGGGCGUAAAGCGUGCGCAGGCGGUUUUGUAAGACAGAGGUGAAAUCCCCGGGCUCAACCUGGGAACUGCCUUUGUGACUGCAAGGCUUGAGUGCGGCAGAGGGGGAUGGAAUUCCGCGUGUAGCAGUGAAAUGCGUAGAUAUGCGGAGGAACACCGAUGGCGAGGGCAAUCCCCUGGGCCUGCACUGACGCUCAUGCACGAAAGCGUGGGGAGCAAACAGGAUUAGAUAGCCCUGGUAGUCCACGCCCUAAACGAUGUCAACUGGUUGUUGGGAAGGUUCCUUCUCAGUAACGUAGCUAACGCGUGAAGUUGACCGCCUGGGGAGUACGGCCGC
This 542-nucleotide ribosomal RNA is filed under the name uncultured bacterium. RNAcentral describes it as "partial 16S ribosomal RNA". It matches the Rfam family "Bacterial small subunit ribosomal RNA", at positions 355 to 889 of the family's 1533-position model. The record is from RNAcentral.